UACAGAGGGGGCAAGCGUUAUUCGGAAUUGUUGGGCGGAGAGGGCGCGUAGGCGGCCUGGCAAGUGGAAGGUGAAAUCCCUCGGCUUAACCGAGGAACUGCCCUCCAAACUGCUUGGCUUGAGUCCGGGAGAGGUGAGUGGAAUUCCCAGUGUAGCGGUGAAAUGCGUAGAUAUUGGGAGGAACACCAGUGGCGAAGGCGGCACACUGGACCGGAACUGACGCUGAGGCGCGAAAGCGUGGGGAGCAAACGGG
This 253-nucleotide ribosomal RNA is filed under the name uncultured bacterium. RNAcentral describes it as "partial 16S ribosomal RNA". It matches the Rfam family "Bacterial small subunit ribosomal RNA", at positions 524 to 776 of the family's 1533-position model. The record is from RNAcentral.